Onychostoma macrolepis is the source of this 603-nucleotide long non-coding RNA. RefSeq lists it as uncharacterized. The transcript has 4 exons. The record is from RefSeq and is a predicted model, not a curated record. Lineage: Eukaryota; Metazoa; Chordata; Actinopteri; Cypriniformes; Cyprinidae.
AUUUUUCCUUUUACAAGAACUUCCCCGGAUUACUGUAAAUGAAUUUCAUCGCACGGAGAAGGGCAUUUAACGUUUCAAGUUACAUUGACAACUUUAGGAUUGUUUUAAAGGAGUCCCAUCCUUUGUUGCAGCACUGUACCAGACAGCACACUAUUCAGAACUGAGAAUCAAUGCAGUUCCUCCUGUACAGAGCUGCACUGAAUGGAGCAGAGCUGGCACAAACCUAGAACAAUGAGAGUCAAGCCAGGUCCUGUCAGUGGGACGGUUGUUCUGUUUGCAAGAGAGUGGUUAAGGAGAACGCUUUACAGUGGUGUCACCAGCGACCUGACCUAUCAGUCCUCCAAGUGGCAGAAGUGUUAAAAAACAAGAAAAAAAGCCAUACCAUAUUACACUACCACAGUUAUUAGUAUUUUACAUUGUAUCAAAGUUUCUAAAAUGUACGUGUUUAUAUUUACAUGUUUAGAUUUCACUAGUGAGCAAGAAACCAUAUUAAAGUUAUAUAUAUUUGCAUUUACAUUAUAUUUAAUUUGCAUUUUAUAUUCUAGUCUGUACAAAUAAAACCAAAUGAAUCCAUCCCAAGUGUUUUGUGUAAGGCCAGAUCUC